GUGGGGAAUAUUGCACAAUGGGCGAAAGCCUGAUGCAGCAACGCCGCGUGAGUGAAGAAGUAUCUCGGUAUGUAAAGCUCUAUCAGCAGGGAAGAAAAUGACGGUACCUGACUAAGAAGCCCCGGCUAACUACGUGCCAGCAGCCGCGGUAAUACGUAGGUGGCAAGCGUUGUCCGGAUUUACUGGGCGUAAAGGGAGCGUAGGCGGAUAUUUAAGUGGGAUGUGAAAUACUCGGGCUUAACCUGGGUGCUGCAUUCCAAACUGGAGAUCUAGAGUGCAGGAGAGGAAAGGAGAAUUCCUAGUGUAGCGGUGAAAUGCGUAGAGAUUAGGAAGAACACCAGUGGCGAAGGCGGCUUGCUGGACAGUAACUGACGUUCAGGCUCGAAAGCGUGGGGAGCAAACAGGAUUAGAAACCCGGGUAGUCC
RNAcentral lists this ribosomal RNA (425 nucleotides) under uncultured bacterium. Its description in RNAcentral is "partial 16S ribosomal RNA". It matches the Rfam family "Bacterial small subunit ribosomal RNA", at positions 354 to 796 of the family's 1533-position model. The record is from RNAcentral.